RNAcentral lists this long non-coding RNA (280 nucleotides) under Elaeis guineensis (African oil palm). RNAcentral's name for it is "long non-coding RNA (EGUI_LNC039610)". The record is from RNAcentral. Lineage: Eukaryota; Viridiplantae; Streptophyta; Magnoliopsida; Arecales; Arecaceae.
UGCAAAGAUGCGGUCUUGCACCAUUUUAAAAGAAAUGAAAAGAUAGGGCGUGCACACAUCAGAUUAGAGAGAAAAAAGGUUGCAUGAAGAAGGUCUUGUUCAUGAGUUGAAAGUUCAAAAACUCCGAGAGAAAAGAAAAGUAAGAGAGUUGGCGCAGGGUCUUCUGUGUGUACCCUAGGGUUACUGCCUAGGGUUCGGGAAGUGAGAAAGUGAGCUACGAGCAUCGUGAGCCCACCAGAUCUCAGAGAGAGAUUCAUCAACCUCUCAAGUAUAUCUGCUG